RNAcentral lists this ribosomal RNA (254 nucleotides) under uncultured bacterium. RNAcentral describes it as "partial 16S ribosomal RNA". It matches the Rfam family "Bacterial small subunit ribosomal RNA", at positions 524 to 776 of the family's 1533-position model. The record is from RNAcentral.
GACAGAGGGUGCAAACGUUGUUCGGAAUUACUGGGCGUAAAGCGCGUGUAGGCGGCUAUGUAAGUCGGGCGUGAAAUCCCACGGCUCAACCGUGGAAGUGCACCCGAAACUGCGUAGCUAGAGUCCUGGAGAGGAAGGUGGAAUGCUUGGUGUAGAGGUGAAAUUCGUAGAUAUCAAGCGGAACACCGGUGGCGAAGGCGGCCUUCUGGACAGUGACUGACGCUGAGACGCGAAAGCGUGGGGGAGCAAACAGG